CAGCCGUAAACUAUGCGCGUUAGGUGUAUCGGUGACCACGAGUCACCGAGGUGCCGAAGGGAAACCGUGAAACGUGCCGCCUGGGAAGUACGGUCGCAAGGCCGAAACUUAAAGGAAUUGGCGGGGGAGCACCACAACGGGUGGAGCCUGCGGUUUAAUUGGACUCAACGCCGGGAAGCUCACCGGAUAAGACAGCGGAAUGAUUGCCGGGCUGAAGACUCUGCAUGACUAGCUGAGAGGAGGUGCAUGGCGUAGACGUCU
Molecule: ribosomal RNA, 261 nt
Filed under: uncultured archaeon
Lineage: Archaea
Description: partial 16S ribosomal RNA
Rfam family: Archaeal small subunit ribosomal RNA
Source: RNAcentral